CAGUCGCCACGGUAAUACGGAGGAUCCAAGCGUUAUCCGGAUUUAUUGGGUUUAAAGGGUGCGUAGGUGGCCUGUUAAGUCAGGGGUGAAAGACGGUAGCUCAACUAUCGCAGUGCCUUUGAUACUGACGGGCUUGAAUGAACUAGAGGUAGGCGGAAUGUGACAAGUAGCGGUGAAAUGCAUAGAUAUGUCACAGAACACCAAUUGCGAAGGCAGCUUACUGUGGUUUUAUUGACACUGAGGCACGAAAGCGUGGGGAUCAAACAGGAUUAGAUACCCGAGUAGUCCCUGUCUCUUAUAA
This 301-nucleotide ribosomal RNA is filed under the name uncultured bacterium. RNAcentral's name for it is "partial 16S ribosomal RNA". It matches the Rfam family "Bacterial small subunit ribosomal RNA", at positions 509 to 809 of the family's 1533-position model. The record is from RNAcentral.